GCUGGGUGUGUAAGCGUUGUGAGGCGUUGAGCUAACCAGUACUAAUUGCCCGUGAGGCUUGACCAUAUAACACCCAAACA
Molecule: ribosomal RNA, 80 nt
Filed under: Pseudomonas aeruginosa
Lineage: Bacteria; Pseudomonadati; Pseudomonadota; Gammaproteobacteria; Pseudomonadales; Pseudomonadaceae
Description: partial 23S ribosomal RNA
Source: RNAcentral